GAUCAUGGCUCAGAUUGAACGCUGGCGGCAGGCUUAACACAUGCAAGUCGAACGGUAGCAGGAGAAAGCUUGCUUUCUUGCUGACGAGUGGCGGACGGGUGAGUAAUGCUUGGGAAUCUGGCUUAUGGAGGGGGAUAACGACGGGAAACUGUCGCUAAUACCGCGUAGUGUCGAGAGACGAAAGUGCGGGACCGCAAGGCCGCAUGCCAUGAGAUGAGCCCAAGUGGGAUUAGG
This 234-nucleotide ribosomal RNA is filed under the name uncultured bacterium. Its description in RNAcentral is "partial 16S ribosomal RNA". It matches the Rfam family "Bacterial small subunit ribosomal RNA", at positions 15 to 245 of the family's 1533-position model. The record is from RNAcentral.